UGGGGGAUGGUGUAGUGGUAACACGGGUGACUCUGGAUCACUUGUCGGAGGUUCGAGCCCUCCUCCCCCAGCCA
RNAcentral lists this transfer RNA (74 nucleotides) under Clostridiales bacterium. Its description in RNAcentral is "tRNA-Gln". It matches the Rfam family "tRNA". Rfam says of the family: Transfer RNA (tRNA) molecules are approximately 80 nucleotides in length. Their secondary structure includes four short double-helical elements and three loops (D, anti-codon, and T loops). The record is from RNAcentral. RNAcentral also lists the same sequence under 1 other name. Lineage: Bacteria; Bacillati; Bacillota; Clostridia; Eubacteriales.